AGAGUUUGAUCCUGGCUCAGAGCGAACGCUGGCGGCAGGCUUAACACAUGCAAGUCGAACGCAUCCUCGGGGUGAGUGGCAGACGGGUGAGUAACACGUGGGAACGUACCCUUCGAUCUGGGAUAACUUCGGGGAAACUGGAGCUAAUACCGGAUACGCCCUUUGGGGGAAAGGUUUACUGUCGAAGGAUCGGCCCGCGUCUGAUUAGCUAGUUGGUGGGGUAACGGCCUACCAAGGCGACGAUCAGUAGCUGGUCUGAGAGGAUGAUCAGCCACACUGGGACUGAGACACGGCCCAGACUCCUACGGGAGGCAGCAGUGGGGAAUAUUGGACAAUGGGCGCAAGCCUGAUCCAGCCAUGCCGCGUGAGUGAUGAAGGCCUUAGGGUUAUAAAGCUCUUUUGUCCGGGACGAUAAUGACGGUACCGGAAGAAUAAGCCCCGGCUAACUUCGUG
Molecule: ribosomal RNA, 453 nt
Filed under: uncultured Hyphomicrobiales bacterium
Lineage: Bacteria; Pseudomonadati; Pseudomonadota; Alphaproteobacteria; Hyphomicrobiales
Description: bacterial SSU rRNA
Rfam family: Bacterial small subunit ribosomal RNA
Source: RNAcentral